CAAUAGCGUAUACUAAAGUUGUUGCAGUUAAAAAGCUCGUAGUUGAAUUUCUGGAUGUGAAAGGUGGUCAGCACCUCACGGUGUCUGCACCUACCAUUCGCGUCCAUCCUCGGGAGGAACAUGUGGACACUUUAGUGGGUCUGCAUGGGAAUCUCGUCAUUUACUGUGAGCAAAAUAGAGUGUUCAAAGCAGGCUUACGCCGUUGAAUAUAUUAGCAUGGAAUAAUAAGAUACGACUUUGGUCUAUUUUGUUGGUUUGCAUUCCAAAGUAAUGAUUAAUAGGGAUAGUUGGGGGUAUUCGUAUUCAAUUGUCAGAGGUGAAAUUCUUGGAUUUAUGGAAGACGAACUACUGCGAAAGCAUUUACCAAGGAUGUUUUCAUUAA
RNAcentral lists this ribosomal RNA (382 nucleotides) under uncultured eukaryote. RNAcentral's name for it is "partial 18S ribosomal RNA". It matches the Rfam family "Eukaryotic small subunit ribosomal RNA", at positions 592 to 976 of the family's 1831-position model. The record is from RNAcentral.